UACGGGAGGCAGCAGUGGGGAAUAUUGCACAAUGGGCGAAAGCCUGAUGCAGCUAUGCCGCGUGUAUGAAGAAGGCCUUAGGGUUGUAAAGUACUUUCAUCGGGGAGGAAAAACAAAACUAAUAAUUUUAUUUCUUGACGUUACCCGAAAAAGAAGCACCGGCUAACUCCGUGCCAGCAGCCGCGGUAAUACGGAGGGUGCUAGCGUUAAUCAGAAUUACUGGGCGUAAAGAGCACGUAGGUGGUUUUUUAAGUCAGAUGUGAAAUCCCUGGGCUUAACCUAGGAACUGCAUUUUGAAACUGAAAUACUAGAGUAUCGUAGAGGGAGGUAGAAUUCUAGGUGUAGCGGUGAAAUGCGUAGAUAUCUGGAGGAAUACCUGUGGCGAAAGUGGCCUCCUAAACGAAUACUGACACUGAGGUGCGAAAGCGUGGGGAGCAAACAGGGAUUAGAUACC
This 454-nucleotide ribosomal RNA is filed under the name uncultured bacterium. Its description in RNAcentral is "bacterial SSU rRNA". It matches the Rfam family "Bacterial small subunit ribosomal RNA", at positions 340 to 786 of the family's 1533-position model. The record is from RNAcentral.